CCCUUAGAUGUUCUGGGCCGUACGCGCGCUACACUGAUGCAUUCAACGAGCCUAUCCUUGACCGACAGGUCCGGGUAAUCUUUGAAUCUGCAUCGUGACGGGGAUAGAUUAUUGCAAUUAUUAAUCUUCAACGAGGAAUGCCUAGUAGGCGCAAGUCAUCAGCUUGCGUCGAUUACGUCCCUGCCCUUUGUACACACCGCCCGUCGCUCCUACCGAUUGGGUGUGCUGGUGAAAUGUUCGGAUCGGCCGUUUGUCGCGGUUUCCGCGUCAUGUGGCUGAGAAGUUCAUUAAACCCUCCCACCUAGAGGAAGGAGAAGUCGUAACA
Molecule: ribosomal RNA, 325 nt
Filed under: uncultured eukaryote
Lineage: Eukaryota
Description: partial 18S ribosomal RNA
Rfam family: Eukaryotic small subunit ribosomal RNA
Source: RNAcentral